CCUACGGGUGGCAGCAGUGGGGAAUAUUGGUCAAUGGAGGCAACUCUGACCCAGCAACGCCGCGUGAAUGAUGAAGGUCUUCGGAUUGUAAAGUUUUUUUUUUAGGGAAGAAGAAAGUGAUGGUACCUUAGGAAUAAGUCUCGGCUAACUACGUGGCAGCAGCAGCGGUAAUACGGAGGAGGCAAGCGUUAUCAGGAAUGACUGGGUGUAAAGGGUGCGUAGGUGGUUGGACAGGUUAGUAGCGCAACUCCGGAGCUCAACUUCGGAACUACUACUAAAACUGUUGGACUUGAGUGCAGGAGAGGCAAGCGGAAUUCGUGGUGUAGCGGUGGAAUGCGUAGAUAUUAGGAAGAACGCCGAUUGCGAAGGCGGAUUGCUAGACUGUAACUGACGCUGGGGCACGAAAGCGUGGGGAGCAAACAGGAUUAGAUACCCCGGUAGUC
This 443-nucleotide ribosomal RNA is filed under the name uncultured bacterium. RNAcentral describes it as "partial 16S ribosomal RNA". It matches the Rfam family "Bacterial small subunit ribosomal RNA", at positions 338 to 795 of the family's 1533-position model. The record is from RNAcentral.